RNAcentral lists this ribosomal RNA (1210 nucleotides) under marine metagenome. RNAcentral describes it as "bacterial LSU rRNA". It matches the Rfam family "Bacterial large subunit ribosomal RNA", at positions 1009 to 2120 of the family's 2925-position model. The record is from RNAcentral.
AGACGAGAGGGAAACAACCCAGAUCAUCAGCUAAGGCCCCUAAAUGUAUGUUAAGUGUGAAACGAUGUGAGAGUGUUCAGACAGCCAGGAGGUUGGCUUAGAAGCAGCCAUUCCUUUAAAGAGUGCGUAACAGCUCACUGGUCGAAUGUUCUCGCGCGGAAGAUGUAACGGGGCUAAACAUACUGCCGAAGCUAUGGGAUCUUAUUAAUCUUGAUAUUUAUAUCCAGGAGAUAAGAUCGGUAGGAGAGCGUUGUAUGGACAGCGAAGCAGCAACGUAAGUUAGUUGUGGAGACCAUACAAGUGAGAAUGUAGGCAUGAGUAGCGAAGGAAGAGUGAGAAUCUCUUCCGCCGAAUGUCCAAGGGUUCCUGGGGAAGGUUCGUCCGCCCAGGGUUAGUCGGGACCUAAGGCGAGGUCGAGAGACGUAGUCGAUGGAUAACAGAUUGAUAUUUCUGUACCACUAAUAACGCGCCCAAAUCGAAUAUAUGUUGCUAAGGAAAGCCCUUCGGGGCCUACCGACCCACAUAUUACUAGAUUAGCGAUGGAGCAACGGAGAAGGAUAGAUGAACCCAGGCGAUGGUUGUCCUGGGGUAAGUGAGUAGGGUUGUUAAUAGGCAAAUCCGUUAACAAUAAACCUGAGACACGAUGCCGAGCCGCUUUUAGGCGAAGUCAUUGAUUCCAUACUUCCAAGAAAAACUUCUAGUUAGUUUUAUUAGUGCCCGUACCCCAAACCGACACAGGUGGACAAGUAGAGAAUACUAAGGCGAGCGAGAGAACUCUGGUUAAGGAACUCGGCAAAAUAGUUCCGUAACUUCGGGAGAAGGAACGCCCAAGUAAAGUGAUUAAUUAACUUUAUAAGCUUGAAAGGGCCGCAGUGAUCAGACUCAAGCGACUGUUUAUCAAAAACACAGGAGGGUGCAAAGUUCGAAUACAACGUAUACCCUCUGACACCUGCCCGGUGCUGGAAGGUUAAGUGGAGAGGUUAGCUUCGGCGAAGCUUUGAAAUUAAGCCCCAGUAAACGGCGGCCGUAACUAUAACGGUCCUAAGGUAGCGAAAUUCCUUGUCGGGUAAGUUCCGACCUGCACGAAUGGUGUAACGAUUUGAGUACUGUCUCAACCAGAGACUCGGCGAAAUUGCAAUGUGAGUAAAGAUGCUCACUAUGCGCGACAGGACGGAAAGACCCCGGAACCUUUACUGCAACUUGAUAUUGA